Molecule: transfer RNA, 77 nt
Filed under: Candidatus Margulisiibacteriota bacterium
Lineage: Bacteria; Bacillati; Candidatus Margulisiibacteriota
Description: tRNA-Pro
Rfam family: tRNA
About the family: Transfer RNA (tRNA) molecules are approximately 80 nucleotides in length.
Source: RNAcentral
CGGGGUGUAGCUCAGUUGGCUAGAGUACUAGCAUGGGGUGCUAGGUGUCGUAGGUUCGAGUCCUAUCACCCCGACCA